CGUGUGUGUGUGUGUUCAUGUGUUUAUAUGUAUGCAUGUGCAUGAGCAAACCUCCCCUGAGAAUACAAUCUUCUAAUGAACAGGAGCUGGAAAGCCUAGAUGAAAAACUGACGGGCCUGCUGAAGCAGAAGGAGCUGGUCACCCAGCAAGGGGACUUGGCAGAAAAGCUGCAACAUCACUUCAGUAUCUCUGAGAUGAGCUCAGAAAAUCUCCAGCAUGACCUGGAACAUGUCACAGCCCAGGAUGAGAGCCUCCUGCAGACAGAGCUGCUGGAGCAGGAGCACUAAGUCUUACAGGCAAGUGAGCCACCACAGCAUCCCAACACUCAUGCUGCUGGGGCUCUUGACCUUGGCCUCUUCUGUGUGAAUAGGCCCUGGUUUUGUCUAGCCUGUGUGGGUCCAGCCAGGCUACUUGUGGGAGUGAUUGCCUUUCCUUCUCACAGAGCAGCCCUUAAGAGAACUGAGGAAGCUGAAGAAGCCACAAACACGUUGGAUCCAUGAAUCUCUCCACCCUCAUAUCAAGGCCUCCUCAGAUGAAGACAUGCCUCAUAGGUGUGAACUCACCAGGGAGACAAACACCAAUUGACCUCCAGGUGAUCCAGCCCCCAUCAGAUCCAUGGGUCUGUUGACUCAGUACUCCUGAAGAAAAGAAAGCAUCAAAAAUGAGCUUGAGAUACAGAAAACCUGAGACAAGAAUUACUGAGAAGUCUGACACUCAAUAGCAAGUGGCCCCUGUGAGGGGUAUUACAACAUGGAGGGAAGAGAUGUGGUAAACAAGACAUUUUCUGACAGUUUAAUGUCGAUGGCUUUGGCAAGCUGACUGACUUCCCUAGCUCUCCCUACAUGGUGGGAAAUAUGUCAUGGAAGACUGUGUUGAUGUCUAGCUCUUCUAAACAGACCACACCCAAAAGCAUCAUAUUUUAUUCUCCAGUCCAGUGUUGAAGCUGACUCCAUGUCAUGCACCAGUGUUGCUGAAGAAAAUGCACUACAGAGGUGGCAGAAGUCCCUCAUUCCUGUGUUAGUCAUUUUUUUCCUCCAUAUGUAAAAUUUGAGGGUAUUCUUCAGUUUCACAGCCUGGCCUGAAGUGACUGGUCUUGAGAAAGAAUUUAAUAGAAGACAUCUGAGGCAUCUUUGAUGUUCUUGGGCACUCAGAUGCUGCCUAUGGAUUUGUUGUGUAUCCAGUAAGCACAUAAGUGUUUGUAGGUUGAAAGAUUCAAAUAGUGACCAAGACAUUAUAGGAUCAGCAGUGGGUGAUAAUUUAUCAAAAGCUUCCCAUAGUGCCACAAACAAUGUUCUAGAAAAUGUC
Molecule: long non-coding RNA, 1305 nt
Organism: Peromyscus leucopus (white-footed mouse)
Lineage: Eukaryota; Metazoa; Chordata; Mammalia; Rodentia; Cricetidae
Exons: 2
Source: RefSeq, a predicted model, not a curated record